UAAUGGCAUGUAGAGUACUCUCAACAGAAGUGAGAUGGAAACAUAGAAAACCUGCUUUUGGAUGCUGAUGUGAAAAUCAAAUUUUCAGACUUUGGCUUAAGUAGAAAAUUCACCUUUGGCAACAAAGCUGGAUACCUCCUGUGACAGUCUCCUGUGUUACCCCAAACUCUUCCAGAGCCAAAAGUAUGAUGGGUUUGAGACAGAUGUGUAGAGCUUGGGAGUCAUCAAAUAUACACUGUCAAUGAAGACAACAGCGGUGCUGAUAUGAGGACUGAAUGACACAAUGGCUGCAAAGCACCCAGCGAGAGUGAUCAGAAGGCAGAUACUCAGACUUCUUAUUCAGGACUCUGCACUUCCGAGUUAGCGCCAGAAUGAUUUCUCAUUUUUGUGAACAUGAAAAGGCCUGUUUUUUUAUCAUCCCCAUCCACACCUUUUCUUUCUGCCUCCUGUCCCUAAGGAUAGCAAUAAAACAUAUCUGGAAGCCCAAUUAGGCAAG
This is a long non-coding RNA of Sapajus apella (tufted capuchin), 496 nucleotides long. RefSeq lists it as uncharacterized. Lineage: Eukaryota; Metazoa; Chordata; Mammalia; Primates; Cebidae. The record is from RefSeq and is a predicted model, not a curated record. The transcript is spliced from 2 exons.